Molecule: non-coding RNA, 530 nt
Filed under: uncultured fungus
Lineage: Eukaryota; Fungi
Description: partial 18S ribosomal RNA
Rfam family: Group I catalytic intron (bases 178-478)
About the family: Group I catalytic introns are large self-splicing ribozymes. They catalyse their own excision from mRNA, tRNA and rRNA precursors in a wide range of organisms.
Source: RNAcentral
CGGGAGUCGGGCGACCUCUUUUCUAUGGGUCGCUCGGCACCUUACGAGAAAUCAAAGUACUUUGGGUUCUGGGGGGAGUAUGGUCGCAAGGCUGAAACUUAAAGGAAUUGACGGAAGGGCACCACCAGGAGUAAACUUCACUCUCAUCGCCGCAGUGACUCUGCUCCCAAAAGCAGCCCGAAAGGGUGAGGUGGUUUGACCUUUUAAAAUCGUAAAUGCUAGUCUGCUCCAAAGGCAGGCAACAUCCUCAAAUUGCGGGAAACUCCUAAAGCUUCAGCUACCAAGCCUUCUCUCGAAAGGGGGAGGGUGGCCAGGUUAAUUGCCUCGGGUACGGUAAAAAUGCUGAAGAUGUAACAAUGGACGAUCCGCAGCCAAGCUCUAAGUCGCGUUGCGAUAUGAGUUGGGUUCAGAGACUAGAUGGGGAUGGGUGCAGGUUUCUGCGCUUAAGGUAUAGUCCGGGCCCAUGUCGAAAGCAUGGGUGGUUUUGGUUCCAAACUCGGGAGCCUGCGGCUUAAUUUGACUCAACACGG